RNAcentral lists this ribosomal RNA (1523 nucleotides) under uncultured bacterium. RNAcentral's name for it is "partial 16S ribosomal RNA". The stretch from base 2 to 1301 matches the Rfam family "Bacterial small subunit ribosomal RNA". The record is from RNAcentral.
UUAACAUGAGAGUUUGAUCCUGGCUCAGGACGAACGCUGGCGGCGUGCCUAAUACAUGCAAGUCGAGCGAGCCGAACUAAUUGAUUACUUCGGGUAUGAAGUNAGGGARGCNAGCGGCGGAUGGGUGAGUAACACGUGGGUAACCUACCCUAUAGUCUGGGAUACCACUUGGAAACAGGUGCUAAUACCGGAUAAAAGGAGAGAUCACAUGAUUUCUUUUUGAAAGGCGGCGUAAGCUGUCGCUAAAGGAUGGACCCNCGGUGCAUUAGCUAGUUGGUAAGGUAACGGCUUACCAAGGCAACGAUGCAUAGCCGAGUUGAGAGACUGAUCGGCCACAUUGGGACUGAGACACGGCCNNAACUCCUACGGGAGGCAGCAGUAGGGAAUCUUCCACAAUGGACGCAAGUCUGAUGGAGCAACGCCGCGUGAGUGAAGAAGGUUUUCGGAUCGUAAAGCUCUGUUGUUGGUGAAGAAAGAUAGUGAGAGUAACUGCUCAUUAUUUGCCGGUAAUCAACCAGAAAGUCACGGCUAACUACGUGCCAGCAGCCGCGGUAAUACGUAGGUGGCNAGCGUUGUCCGGAUUUAUUGGGCGUAAAGCGAGCGCAGGCGGAAAGAUAAGUCAGAUGUGAAAGCCCUCGGCUUAACCGAGGCAUAGCAUCGGAAACUGUCUUUCUUGAGUGCAGAAGAGGAGAGUGGAACUCCAUGUGUAGCGGUGGAAUGCGUAGAUAUAUGGAAGAACACCAGUGGCGAAGGCGGCUCUCUGGUCUGUAACUGACGCUGAGGCUCNAAAGCAUGGGUAGCGAACAGGAUUAGAUACCCUGGUAGUCCAUGCUGUAAACGAUGAGUGCUAAGUGUUGGGAGGUUUCCGCCUCUCAGUGCUGCAGCUAACGCAUUAAGCACUCCGCCUGGGGAGUACGACCGCAAGGUCAAAACUCAAAGGAAUUGACGGGGNCCNGCACAAGCGGUGGAGCAUGUGGUUUAAUUCGAANNAACGCGAAGAACCUUACCAGGUCUUGACAUCUAGUGCCAACCUUGGAUUCUCUAAUCCGCAAGGGAAGCCCCUGUGAUUCUGUCCACCACGUACCGACAGCAGUCGAGCACAGCACUCUACAACCCAAUUCAGGGCGUUGCUCGCGUUGGGAAUAAUAAUCAACGGUCGUAAUUCAACCCGUGAGAUUACUCUGACGGCCACUGUUUGGCCUCCUUCCACCCCUACUGCAGUUCAGUAGUACGGGGAAUACUGGACCCGAUGUGUGCACGAUGUUACCCGUCAUGUUGCUCCUCGCUUGAACACUUCCGUUCGCUUAGAGACUUUCGACAAGAGUCAAGCCUGACAUCCGACGUUGAGCGGAUGUGCUUCGACCUUAGCGAUCAUUAGCGCCUAGUCGUGCGGCGCCACUUAUGCAAGGGCCCGGAACAUGUGUGGCGGGCAGUGUGGUACUCUCAAACAUUGUGGGUUUCGGCCGGCCUAUUGGAUCAAAUGAUCCUCAGUCGGCAGAUUCCACCCUGUUUACUAAUCCCAC